CGCCAAGCUGGUUAGGCAGCGGCUUUUGAUGCCGCCAUUCACAGGUUCGAAUCCGUCGUAGCCACCA
RNAcentral lists this transfer RNA (67 nucleotides) under Vibrio coralliilyticus. RNAcentral's name for it is "tRNA-Gln". The record is from RNAcentral. Lineage: Bacteria; Pseudomonadati; Pseudomonadota; Gammaproteobacteria; Vibrionales; Vibrionaceae.